This 253-nucleotide ribosomal RNA is filed under the name uncultured bacterium. RNAcentral describes it as "partial 16S ribosomal RNA". It matches the Rfam family "Bacterial small subunit ribosomal RNA", at positions 524 to 776 of the family's 1533-position model. The record is from RNAcentral.
GACGAACCGUGCGAACGUUGUUCGGAAUCACUGGGCUUAAAGGGCGCGUAGGCGGGUUCGAAAGUCUGUGGUGAAAGCCUCCAGCUUAACUGGAGAAGUGCCAUGGAUACUGCGAACCUGGAGGAGGGUAGGGGCAUCUGGAACGCUGGGUGGAGCGGUGAAAUGCGUUGAUAUCCAGCGGAACUCCGGUGGCGAAGGCGAGGUGCUGGACCCUUUCUGACGCUGAGGCGCGAAAGCCAGGGGGGCAAACGGG